This is a non-coding RNA of Doryrhamphus excisus (bluestripe pipefish), 637 nucleotides long. The record is from RefSeq and is a predicted model, not a curated record. NCBI's taxonomy places the organism in Eukaryota, Metazoa, Chordata, Actinopteri, Syngnathiformes, Syngnathidae.
AAACAAACAAUCACGACAAACCGCCGCCCUAGUCUAUACAACUGGUCUAUACAUUGAGUUAAUUCCACCUUAAAUUUCCCAUUGAGCGCCAAUCCGAAGCUAGCGAAUCAGAAGGCAAAUUCGGCGGAGUUGACCGGUCGUAAACAAAGGAUUUAAGAACUUUUUAAGUACAGUAUCACGCAAUACUUUCUCAGGAUGAGGUUUUAUUUUUCAACUUUUACCUUUGGGGCGCCACAGCGUUCACGCUGAGAAGGGUCGUGCAUCGUCGGUGCCCGGAUGUUGCACUUAAAUGUUCCUUUUUCAUUAUUCCAAAGCAAAGACAUCUACUGGCCCGGAGGAGAACACGUCCAAGUCUGUUCACCCUUUGCUGCGACUCUCGCCCAAACUGUCCCAAAGGAGGAAGAAGACGUUGGUGCUGCUGACAAUCUGAGCAGGACCGCAGUGACUCAAUGACCCAAAAAAAGAAGUCCCGGGUGAACAGCAAAAGGUCAACUGUGGAUCUUCCCACUCAUCUCCUGAGACAUAAAAAAAACUGACGUCAUGUUCCCGGCACACUCGAUGCUUGUGAACGUGACUCAAAAGUGUUGUUAGUGUGGCGCUGCUGGACCUUAACACGCAUUAAAUACUCGCACAAUGA